Molecule: ribosomal RNA, 499 nt
Filed under: uncultured bacterium
Lineage: Bacteria
Description: partial 16S ribosomal RNA
Rfam family: Bacterial small subunit ribosomal RNA
Source: RNAcentral
GACGAACGCUGGCGGCGUGCUUAACACAUGCAAGUCGAACGAUGAAGCCGGAGCUUGCUCUGGUGAAUUAGUGGCGAACGGGUGAGUAACACGUGAGUAACCUGCCCUUGACUCUGGGAUAACUGCUAGAAAUGGUAGCUAAUACCGGAUACGACCCUCGGAGACAUCUCCAGGGGGUGGAAAGAAUUUCGGUCAAGGAUGGACUCGCGGCCUAUCAGCUAGUUGGUGAGGUAACGGCUCACCAAGGCGACGGCGGGUAGCCGGCCUGAGAGGGUGACCGGCCACACUGGGACUGAGACACGGCCCAGACUCCUACGGGAGGCAGCAGUGAGGAAUAUUGGUCAAUGGCCGGAAGGCUGAACCAGCCAUCCCGCGUGCAGGAUGACGGCCCUAUGGGUUGUAAACUGCUUUUGUACCUGAAGAAACCUGGUUACGAGUAACCAGUUGCCGGUAAGGUAUGAAUAAGCAUCGGCUAACUCCGUGCCAGCAGCCGCGGUAA